RNAcentral lists this long non-coding RNA (242 nucleotides) under Ricinus communis (castor bean). RNAcentral's name for it is "long non-coding RNA (RCOM_LNC002308)". The record is from RNAcentral. Lineage: Eukaryota; Viridiplantae; Streptophyta; Magnoliopsida; Malpighiales; Euphorbiaceae.
UUGGAGACAUAAUACUCUCACAGUAACCAGUCAAGUGUCUGGCUCGAUACAAUUGUGUUUGCAGAUCAUGGUACGUGUGCUCUAAUUACUGGUCCUUUAUUUGCUGAAUAUCACCUUCAUCUUUCAACCUGAUCCUGAUAAGCUCUUCACUCUGUUUUUCCAUGUUUGGUUUUUCCGUUUCCCAUGUUUCCCUUAACCUUCCUGGUUCUGUUCGUUGAAGGGCCAUGCUGCAAGUCCCAAAC